This is a long non-coding RNA of Coregonus clupeaformis (lake whitefish), 1456 nucleotides long. RefSeq lists it as uncharacterized. NCBI's taxonomy places the organism in Eukaryota, Metazoa, Chordata, Actinopteri, Salmoniformes, Salmonidae. The record is from RefSeq and is a predicted model, not a curated record. The transcript has 3 exons.
GUAACUGCUCCAUUUUGGAGCUGCCUUACUCAACGAAAAUUUACCAAAACAACAAUACAAUGGGAAAAUAAUAUUGUUUGCCAACUGAAAUGAUACAUUGUUGUGGCAUAAAAUAACAGAAUUGCAUGCAAAUCUCCAGUGACGCAUCGCCACUGAUCACAUCAUGGAUUGAAAGAGAAAGCAUGUACACCAUCUUAAGAAGUAUGGAGAACUGACGGCAAACACACUGAAGAUAAAAAAAAAAAUGUAUCUUCAGUAAUGUGCCACCAUCAAGCAGAGCACAUUACUGAAGAUAAAUCCAUCGACAAAGCUGUGGUGAAGUACGUGGUCCAAGGGCUCCAAACAUUUGCUGUUUUAGAACAAGAACCGUUCAGAGAGUUUGUCCAGGAUCUGCAGCCUAACUAAAGAUCUUAUCAAGGCCCACACUGCGCUCCAGGAGUGAUGAAGCCUCCACGGAAAUGAAGAAGAAGGUGACUGAGGCCAUGAGAGGAGUUGACCACAUCGCCACCACCAACGACUGCUGGUCUGCAAGAAGAUGGAGUUUAAUUGGUGUUACAGCCCACUGGAUAGACCCUGACAGUCUCAACAGAUGCUCUGCACCCCUGGCCUGUAAACGGUUGAGAGGAUCGCACACCUUUCAUGUGUUGGCAGGCACCCUAAAUGACAUCCAUUCUGAGUUUGAAAUUGUGAGAACAACAACAGACAACGGCUCUAACUUCUUGAAAGCUUUCCAAGUUUUUGGAGAAGAUGAAAACAACAAGACAGUGGAAGCAGUGGGUGGUGAAGCAGCUCAGCCAGGACAGGAAGAUGGUGAAGAGAAACAAGAGGAGAUUGAAGAAGUGGAGUUUGUUGAUGUGGCAACGAUCAUGAAUGAAGAUGAUGGUUUUGAGUACCAGCUGCCGAAGCACCAGCGCUGUGCUUGCCACCUACUCAACUUAGUAUCUACAGUCGAUGCCCUGAAAGCAACAUCCAGUGAGGCUUACAAAAAAAGUGUCCCGUUCAACAUUUGCCAAGUGCCAAGCACUUUGGAAGAAGUGCGGAAGAUCCACACUUGCAGCCGAAACGGUUGAAGAUGCUUACGACCUCCAGCUGCUGCGCUGGAAUGCUACAAGGUGGAACUCCUGGUUCAUGGCUGUAGAAAGACUCCUGAGGAUCGUCAAAGACAAAGGAGAGGCGGCCUUCAGAGUUCUCUGCACAGACUUCGAGGUUCCAAUGUUCAAUCCAGCUGAACUCGCCUUCCUGACAGAGUAUGCUGCCACCAUGAGCCCAGUCGCAAAGGCCAUCAACAUCCUGCAGGCUGAAACCAAUGUCCAGAUGGGGUGGCUACUUCCAACUAUCAACCUUGCUGAUCACAAAACUUGACCGACUCAAGUUGUCCCUGAAGGACUGUAUGUCACGAUCGUCGGUAAGAGAGGAGGACCAAGGCACAGCGUUGCAGGCAAACAUACUCUUUAUU